This 678-nucleotide ribosomal RNA is filed under the name Bacillus subtilis. RNAcentral describes it as "bacterial SSU rRNA". It matches the Rfam family "Bacterial small subunit ribosomal RNA", at positions 92 to 755 of the family's 1533-position model. Lineage: Bacteria; Bacillati; Bacillota; Bacilli; Caryophanales; Bacillaceae. The record is from RNAcentral.
UUAGCGGCGGACGGGUGAGUAACACGUGGGUAACCUGCCUGUAAGACUGGGAUAACUCCGGGAAACCGGGGCUAAUACCGGAUGCUUGUUUGAACCGCAUGGUUCAAACAUAAAAGGUGGCUUCGGCUACCACUUACAGAUGGACCCGCGGCGCAUUAGCUAGUUGGUGAGGUAAUGGCUCACCAAGGCAACGAUGCGUAGCCGACCUGAGAGGGUGAUCGGCCACACUGGGACUGAGACACGGCCCAGACUCCUACGGGAGGCAGCAGUAGGGAAUCUUCCGCAAUGGACGAAAGUCUGACGGAGCAACGCCGCGUGAGUGAUGAAGGUUUUCGGAUCGUAAAGCUCUGUUGUUAGGGAAGAACAAGUACCGUUCGAAUAGGGCGGUACCUUGACGGUACCUAACCAGAAAGCCACGGCUAACUACGUGCCAGCAGCCGCGGUAAUACGUAGGUGGCAAGCGUUGUCCGGAAUUAUUGGGCGUAAAGGGCUCGCAGGCGGUUUCUUAAGUCUGAUGUGAAAGCCCCCGGCUCAACCGGGGAGGGUCAUUGGAAACUGGGGAACUUGAGUGCAGAAGAGGAGAGUGGAAUUCCACGUGUAGCGGUGAAAUGCGUAGAGAUGUGGAGGAACACCAGUGGCGAAGGCGACUCUCUGGNCUGUAACUGACGCUGAGGAGCG